Non-coding RNA from Ceratotherium simum simum (southern white rhinoceros), 721 nucleotides. Lineage: Eukaryota; Metazoa; Chordata; Mammalia; Perissodactyla; Rhinocerotidae. The record is from RefSeq and is a predicted model, not a curated record.
GUGGAAGCUUUUGACAGCACUUCAGUCCACCUGUCUCCUGGGUGAUCUGCUCCAGAGCCUGAACCAGGUAAACUUCAUUCAGCUCCUGCUGAGAUGUCCUGCCAGCAAAGCCAGCAGCAGUGCCAGCCCCUCCCAAGUGUCCCCCAAAAUGUCCACCCAAGUGUACUCCUAAGUGUCCUCCCAAGUGUCCCCCCAAAUGCCCCCCCAUGUGCCCAGCCCCUUGUCCACCUCCAGUGUCCUGCUGUAACCCCAGCUCUGGGGAUUGCUGUAGCUCUGGGGGUGGGGACUGCUACAGCUCUGGGGGUGGCGGCUGCUGCCUGAGCCACCACAGGCCCCGCCGAUCUUUUCGACGCCAACAUCGGAACUCUGACUGCUGUGGUAGUGGUAGCAGCCAGAAUUCUGGGGGCUCUGGCGGCUGCUCUGGGGGCUGUUGCUGACCUGGGCCAUGAGGAGCACUGAGGAGCAGCAUCGGAGGAGCCAAAGUGCCAACGACCUGCCUAGCCCGAGACUUCUCUUCUCCCGUUUCCCAUGGAAGGGCUUCUGAAAUGCUCUGAGUUUUCCUCUUCUCCUUGCCCACGUUCAUUCCACUGUGAGGUCUAGAGGUCUAACCUCUGGUAAUCACCGGCCUUUUUCUCCUCAGGCAUAGUUCUUUGGAGUACUUGGUGUCGGAGUUUAGUUACGCAGCUGUUUUCUCCGUAACAAUAAAGCUUUUUAUUCCUGA